RNAcentral lists this ribosomal RNA (372 nucleotides) under uncultured bacterium. RNAcentral's name for it is "bacterial SSU rRNA". It matches the Rfam family "Bacterial small subunit ribosomal RNA", at positions 524 to 898 of the family's 1533-position model. The record is from RNAcentral.
UACGGAGGAUGCAGGCGUUAUCCGGAUUCAUUGGGUUUAAAGGGUGCGUAGGCGGGACUGUAAGUCAGUGGUGAAAUCCUUCAGCUUAACUGGAGAAUUGCCAUUGAUACUGCAGACCUUGAGUACAGUUGAGGUAGGCGGAAUGUAUCAUGUAGCGGUGAAAUGCUUAGAUAUGAUACAGAACUCCGAUUGCGAAGGCAGCUUACUAAGCUGUAACUGACGCUGAGGCACGAAAGCGUGGGGAGCGAACAGGAUUAGAUACCCUGGUAGUCCACGCUGUAAACGAUGAUCACUCGCUGUUAGCAACAUAUCGUUAGCGGCUAAGCGAAAGCAUUAAGUGAUCCACCUGGGGAGUACGGUCGCAAGAUUGAA